CCUCUCAACGCUAAAACUGUUUAGUUUAUCAACAGUAAAUAAUAGAAAAGAAAACUAUUUUCUCAGCGGACAACGUCAACCAAUAUUUCAUUGAAAAUUUGACUAAGAUAUUGCAAAUAUGAAUUAUCCGUUCCAUUCAGUUGCCUUAUCGUGCAUAGUUUUUGCGUACAUUUGGUACAUAGCUUUUCAGUGCUUUUUCAUUCCAUAUUAUUCUCUACAGUGCAGCGGUUGUGAGAGCUUUGGUAAUAUGAUACGGAGGUGUGCACAGUUACCACGUCGCUGCUUUUAUACCUACAAAGACUGUGUGCCCUUGUGCAGAGAGAGAUGCUAAAAGCAAAAUCAUUUAUGGAAUACAGAAAGCAUGCGGAAACGUUUUGAUUCACACACUUUUUGUGUGCUGCAUUUUAUGGGACUAUCAAAUAUUUUUGUGCUAUUACUAAAAAUUUCAAAAUAUAAUUCAGCAAUAACAAUAUAUGUGAGCACCUAUCAGGGCUCGAACCAGC
This 503-nucleotide small RNA is filed under the name Drosophila virilis. RNAcentral describes it as "GJ25683". The record is from RNAcentral. Lineage: Eukaryota; Metazoa; Arthropoda; Insecta; Diptera; Drosophilidae.